UUAAUUUGACUUCGCACGAGAAAACUUACCCGGCCCGGACGCAGGAAGGAUUGACAGAUUAAGAGCUCUUUCUUGAUUCUGUGGAUGGUGGUGCAUGGCCGUUUUUAGUUGGGGGAACGAUUUGUCUGGUUAAUUUCGAUAACGAGCAAGACUCUGGCCUACUAAAUAGACUCUCCAAUUAUUCGAGUCGGAUGUUCAGGGAGUUUUCGAAAAAUCAUAUUCGCAUCGUGAACAACCUCAGGAGCAUUUAUAAAGGUCUGGGAUGGCAAUAGAAUAAUCUAGAAA
RNAcentral lists this non-coding RNA (285 nucleotides) under Stegodyphus mimosarum. RNAcentral describes it as "eukaryotic small subunit ribosomal RNA". It matches the Rfam family "Eukaryotic small subunit ribosomal RNA", at positions 1190 to 1404 of the family's 1831-position model. Lineage: Eukaryota; Metazoa; Arthropoda; Arachnida; Araneae; Eresidae. The record is from Rfam by way of RNAcentral.